Molecule: ribosomal RNA, 626 nt
Filed under: Salmonella enterica
Lineage: Bacteria; Pseudomonadati; Pseudomonadota; Gammaproteobacteria; Enterobacterales; Enterobacteriaceae
Description: partial 23S ribosomal RNA
Rfam family: Bacterial large subunit ribosomal RNA
Source: RNAcentral
GGGUUGUGAGGUUAAGCGACUAAGCGUACACGGUGGAUGCCCUGGCAGUCAGAGGCGAUGAAGGGCGUGCUAAUCUGCGAUAAGCGCCGGUAAGGUGAUAUGAACCGUUAUAACCGGCGAUACCCGAAUGGGGAAACCCAGUGUGAUUCGUCACACUAUCAUUAACUGAAUCCAUAGGUUAAUGAGGCGAACCGGGGGAACUGAAACAUCUAAGUACCCCGAGGAAAAGAAAUCAACCGAGAUUCCCCCAGUAGCGGCGAGCGAACGGGGAGGUGCCCAGAGCCUGAAUCAGCAUGUGUGUUAGUGGAAGCGUCUGGAAAGGCGCGCGAUACAGGGUGACAGCCCCGUACACAAAAGCGCAUGUGCUGUGAGCUCGAUGAGUAGGGCGGGACACGUGGUAUCCUGUCUGAAUAUGGGGGGACCAUCCUCCAAGGCUAAAUACUCCUGACUGACCGAUAGUGAACCAGUACCGUGAGGGAAAGGCGAAAAGAACCCCGGCGAGGGGAGUGAAAAAGAACCUGAAACCGUGUACGUACAAGCAGUGGGAGCACAGGUUUACCUGUGUGACUGCGUACCUUUUGUAUAAUGGGUCAGCGACUUAUAUUCUGUAGCAAGGUUAACCGUAU